GAGUGAAUUAUUCUUUCAUAUGAAGUGUAUUCAUUCACUAAACAAAGAGUUGAGGUGAAUUAAAAAAACAUAUAAAAUGAAAGAAAAUUCUUCAGCAUCUCUAUAUUCUCAGCUAGGCUUCAAUGGCAUGAAUUACAGAGCUUGUUUAACCACAACAUGCUGUUUAGUAAAUGGACAACACAGGAUCAAUUUAUUAAUGCCAAAUAGGUUGAUUUAACUAAACGCUGAUCGUAUUAGUGUUGCCAUUUUAAAGUGGC
Pelobates cultripes (western spadefoot toad) is the source of this 257-nucleotide non-coding RNA. The record is from the annotation of a GenBank genome assembly. NCBI's taxonomy places the organism in Eukaryota, Metazoa, Chordata, Amphibia, Anura, Pelobatidae.